Molecule: long non-coding RNA, 2181 nt
Filed under: Paramuricea clavata
Lineage: Eukaryota; Metazoa; Cnidaria; Anthozoa; Malacalcyonacea; Plexauridae
Source: RNAcentral
CCCCGCGAUUCUAUCCGAAAGCACGUGCAAUAUAUGUUUACGAGAAUUCCCUUCGUCCCAACCCCCAAAGGAUCAUGGUGUUUUCUUGUUGAGUAUUUUGUCAAGUGGAAGUCAUGCUCUGUGGCUGCUUGCUCGUACAACAAUCCAUCGUGUAAGUCCUCAAUCUUUCUUAUUUCAAAAAAUCUACAAACUUUAUUCUAUUCUGUGAUAUUUAAACUCUAGGAAACCGGUUUCAUUUCACGCGAAAUCGGCGAGGAAGUACGAUAAAAUCGAGUAGAUACCGCGGCUCUUUGUCACACCCUCGGUUCGAUUUGUAGAGCACGCACGUAUUAAACCGCGUUGUCUUGUGUGUUGUUUUUUAGCUGCCUUCGAUGAGUUUUGUAUGUGUACUUGGUAUGCACGAAGUUGGCUGGGAGACUGAUAGAUACACUGUCGUCGAAAAGAAUGCAAAACUGGCUAAAGCAACGAAAGAAACUUCCUCGAACGUGACGGCGAAUGGCUACGACUUAUCGAACGCAAACGGCGUCAAUGGCGAGGUAGGUAGCUACCUAUUCGAACGGCAAGGUGUCGCUACAAGCUUCACGAAAAGCGUUACGAUGGACGAGAAUACUUUCGCUGGCAAACAUUGGGCUGUAAACGACAAAUCUGAAACCGUAAGUUUGUAUUUUCAUAGUAUAAAGAUGCCCCAUAUUUAUGCACGAGUAUUUAUUGUUGUGGAAUCGAUUUACUCGAGUGAUCCUUUGAUCGCUUCGAAAUAUGUCGCUAGAAAGCUACUUUUGAAUGAACACAUUAUUCCUAGGAAGCAUUUCCUCAAAGUUGUGAUAAAAACCUAACAAAACAGAGUGUUUAUUCCAAGAGAAAUCUCUAUAGAAGUCCGCAUUGUACGAAUAUAUUCUAAGCAUGUGAAGUUUACAUAAUAUAAAUUUAAGCGUCUUUCAAAACUAUUUAAAUUCGGUCAAAAACUAAGCCUAUUCGUUACGUAUUUGUUUGUUAUGUGAAAGAAGAAAAGCGAAAUAACGAAAUAUAAAUUUGUCGGAAAAAUUGAAAGUAUUUUGAGCGUAUAUUUUUGUGUGCUCGCGGUUUUGUUUUCAUUUCAUCGCCUAAUGAUUGAAAAUAUGCAUGGAUUUCGAAUUAGCCAUGUAUUUAAAUGGUUUUUGAAUUGAAAUCGUGGCAAUUACGGCCUCGAUUUGCCAUGUGACAAAUGGUGUAACGGUCUAAAAAUAUUUCGUAUUUUAUAAGUCAUCAAAUGCUUGAAAAGUAUUCAGAUUUUAAUGAACAGUUUGAUAUUGCUGAUUUGCUGGUAUUUUGAAGUUCGCAUUUAAAAAAAAUUUUAAGUAUGGCAAAUGGAAUUUUUCCAAAAUACGAGCUUAAUGCUAGACCGUACAUCGUGUUUCUUACUAAUGUGGGCUAAUGAUGUUUGGGUGUGAUUGUGGUAUCGUUCCGCUUCAUUAGCCAAAACACAGACUUGCAGAAGCGCUCAUAUUAUGAAUAUUAAUGGCCUGUUUAUUUGAUCCCGGCAGGAUCUAGGAACGUUUUCACCCGGCUGGCUGGCUAGCGGGAAAUGCACCCAGGUGGGAUUGGCAUGUUUAGAUGGACCAAAACAUUCCUGGGAUAAAGCCAUCUAAGGGGUAUAUGUGUGGAGACGAGCCAGCCCAGAUACCUGAGCUAGCUCGCGAGACUCUUGAGAUGGACUGGCUCUCCAAAACAAACCACCGGCUCUCACCGCUGUAACACUCAGCUAGCCGGGGUCAUUGCAUUUUUAUGCGGUCACAUUCCCAUCACCCAAGAUCACGGCUCCCUUCGAGGCAGGCCAGCUCAGUUCCCAUAUAAAGUCAAAAUAAAAUUUAAACCAGGCGAGCUCAGGUACCCUGGCUGGCUUGCCCCGUACAAACAGCCCCUAGGUGCUUGACAUAUUUUUGUAGCUGAUGGUGGUUGGUGUUUCAGAGCAGACACUUUUCGCUCAUGGGUUCGAUCCUCAUGGCACAGCCAUAACGUUUAUGUGCAAAGAGUCAAACCAUCUACAUCCAAUUCUAUCGAAAUAUUAUAAGAUGCCCAAAACCCUGGUAUACAUAACCUAAUUGUAACAUUUUGUAGACAAACAACAAUGUAUCUGAUCUGGAAGAAAAUUUUCAAGGAAUAAAUAUCAAUGAUGAAAAAGAGCAAAAAUCCAAUAUGCAAGAG